AUUGAACGCUGGCGGCAGGCUUAACACAUGCAAGUCGAGCGGGGGAAGGUAGCUUGCUACCGGACCUAGCGGCGGACGGGUGAGUAAUGCUUAGGAAUCUGCCUAUUAGUGGGGGACAACAUCUCGAAAGGGAUGCUAAUACCGCAUACGUCCUACGUGAGAAAGCAGGGGAUCUUCGGACCUUGCGCUAAUAGAUGAGCCUAAGUCGGAUUAGCUAGUUGGUGGGGUAAAGGCCUACCAAGGCGACGAUCUGUAGCGGGUCUGAGAGGAUGAACCGCCACACUGGGACUGAGACACGGCCCAGACUCCUACGGGAGGCAGCAGUGGGGAAUAUUGGACAAUGGGGGGAACCCUGAUUCAGCCAUGCCGCGUGUGUGAAGAAGGCCUUAUGGUUGUAAAGCACUUUAAGCGAGGAGGAGGCUACUCUAGUUAAUACCUAGGGAUAGUGGACGUUACUCGCAGAAUAAGCACCGGCUAACUCUGUGCCAGCCGCCGCGGUAA
This 501-nucleotide ribosomal RNA is filed under the name uncultured bacterium. RNAcentral describes it as "partial 16S ribosomal RNA". It matches the Rfam family "Bacterial small subunit ribosomal RNA", at positions 30 to 523 of the family's 1533-position model. The record is from RNAcentral.